AAGCUCUGAUUGUUUGUAUAGAAGGAUAUCGGACAGCUGAUUGCAUAGUUGUGUGAUCGUGCGAUCUCGAGAUUGUCGAAUCGUUGAAAUUGCCAUAGUGGGUGAGAUAAUUCAGCUCUUGAUGGCUCUUGUGAGAUCAAGUGAGACUGUUAUACCAUAUUUUUAUCUGUUCGAGAUGGAUAGCUGUCGCACACAAUGAAGGGAU
RNAcentral lists this long non-coding RNA (205 nucleotides) under Elaeis guineensis (African oil palm). RNAcentral describes it as "long non-coding RNA (EGUI_LNC015922)". The record is from RNAcentral. Lineage: Eukaryota; Viridiplantae; Streptophyta; Magnoliopsida; Arecales; Arecaceae.